AUUGAACGCUGGCGGCAUGCCUUACACAUGCAAGUCGAACGGCAGCACGGGAGCAAUCCUGGUGGCGAGUGGCGAACGGGUGAGUAAUAUAUCGGAACGUGCCCAGUCGUGGGGAUAACGUAGCGAAAGCUACGCUAAUACCGCAUACGAUCUACGGAUGUAAGCGGGGGAUCGCAAGACCUCGCGCGAUUGGAGCGGCCGAUAUCAGAUUAGGUAGUUGGUGAGGUAAAGGCUCACCAAGCCGACGAUCUGUAGCUGGUCUGAGAGGACGACCAGCCACACUGGGACUGAGACACGGCCCAGACUCCUACGGGAGGCAGCAGUGGGGAAUUUUGGACAAUGGGCGCAAGCCUGAUCCAGCAAUGCCGCGUGCAGGAUGAAGGCCUUCGGUUGUAACU
This 398-nucleotide ribosomal RNA is filed under the name uncultured bacterium. RNAcentral's name for it is "bacterial SSU rRNA". It matches the Rfam family "Bacterial small subunit ribosomal RNA", at positions 30 to 431 of the family's 1533-position model. The record is from RNAcentral.